RNAcentral lists this ribosomal RNA (484 nucleotides) under uncultured bacterium. RNAcentral's name for it is "bacterial SSU rRNA". It matches the Rfam family "Bacterial small subunit ribosomal RNA", at positions 45 to 524 of the family's 1533-position model. The record is from RNAcentral.
GGCCUAACACAUGCAAGUCGAACGGCAGCACGGGAGCAAUCCUGGUGGCGAGUGGCGAACGGGUGAGUAAUACAUCGGAACGUGCCCAGUAGUGGGGGAUAACCCGGCGAAAGCCGGACUAAUACCGCAUACGACCUACGGGUGAAAGCGGGGGAUCGCAAGACCUCGCGCUAUCGGAGCGGCCGAUGUCAGAUUAGCUAGUUGGUGGGGUAAAGGCCUACCAAGGCGACGAUCUGUAGCUGGUCUGAGAGGACGACCAGCCACACUGGGACUGAGACACGGCCCAGACUCCUACGGGAGGCAGCAGUGGGGAAUUUUGGACAAUGGACGCAAGCCUGAUCCAGCCAUGCCGCGUGCGGGAAGAAGGCCUUCGGGUUGUAAACCGCUUUUGUCAGGGAAGAAAAGCACCGAUCUAAUACAACGGUGUCAUGACGGUACCUGAAGAAUAAGCACCGGCUAACUACGUGCCAGCAGCCGCGGUAAU